AAAUGCGAUAACUAGUGUGAAUUGCAGAAUUCCGUGAAUCAUCGAGUCUUUGAACGCACAUUGCGCCCCCUGGUAUUCCGGGGGGCAUGCCUGUCCGAGCGUCAUUGCUGCCCAUCAAGCACGGCUUGUGUGUUGGGUCGUCGUCCCCUCUCCGGGGGGGACGGGUCCCAAAGGCAGCGGCGGCACCGCGUCCGAUCCUCGAGCGUAUGGGGCUUUGUCACCCGCUCUGUAGGCCCGGCCGGCGCUUGCCGAACGCAAAUCAGUCUUUUUCCAGGUUGACCUCGGAUCAGGUAGGGAUACCCGCUGAACUUAAGC
This 315-nucleotide unclassified non-coding RNA is filed under the name plant metagenome. RNAcentral's name for it is "partial contains 5.8S ribosomal RNA, internal transcribed spacer 2, and large subunit ribosomal RNA". The stretch from base 1 to 104 matches the Rfam family "5.8S ribosomal RNA", at positions 51 to 154 of the family's 154-position model. The record is from RNAcentral.